GAUGAAGAACGCAGCGAAAUGCGAAAAGUAAUGUGAAUUGCAGAAUUCAGUGAACCAUCGAAUCUUUGAACGCACAUUGCGCCCGCUGGAACUCCGGCGGGCACGCCUGUCCGAGCGUCAUUUCAACCCUCAGGCCCCCCUUCGCGGGCGGGCCUGGUGUUGGGGCCCGGCCGCUACCCUGCGGCCGUCCCCUAAAUUCAGUGGCGGCCUCGCCGUGAUCCCUUGCGUAGUAAUGCACCUCGCACCGGAGAGCGCCGUGGCCACGCCGUAAAACCCCCAAUUUUCAAUGGUUGACCUCGGAUCAGGUGGGAAUAACCGCUGAACUUAAGCAUAUCAAUAAGCGGAGGA
RNAcentral lists this unclassified non-coding RNA (348 nucleotides) under soil metagenome. Its description in RNAcentral is "partial contains 5.8S ribosomal RNA, internal transcribed spacer 2, and large subunit ribosomal RNA". The stretch from base 1 to 120 matches the Rfam family "5.8S ribosomal RNA", at positions 35 to 154 of the family's 154-position model. The record is from RNAcentral.